GCAAACAUUCAUGAAUCCUGGGUCCCCUUGAGUUCUAUGCCCAGGUGCAGAAUCCUUCACCAUGCUCUGGAGCAAAUGCAGACCCAGGUGAAGCUCCUAGAAGCAUGGAGGCUUUCUUCAUCUAGACACUUGUGAACUGAAAAGACAAGUUCCCUGUCCAGCCCCACCAAUGUAUAAUGAGGAAACAAACAGCAUUCUUGUUAGAGACUCGGAAGUGAUUGAUGGCAGUUGCCAGCUAACAGCAAUUCUGAUUUCCAGCUGACAUGGAGGAGCAACACGAUCCUGACAGCAAGCAAAGAAAAUGCUUAGAAGAGCAGAGAUUCAUGGUGUUCAUAGUAACUGCAGGAAGACAACAUGAGUGUAUCACAGAUGAGUCAGAAGAAAGACUGCUGGUGAAGCCUGAAGGUGAAAGACAAGGGCAGAGACUAUGAACAGAGUGAGAUGGUUGGAGCUCUGCUCCCAUCCUAGGAGAAUAAAUGGGACACCCUGGAGGUGAAACAACCCUAUUUUAUAGGUACGAGACCUACAAGUGGUAUCUCUUGUGGCAUGAACAAAUGUCUAUUUACUCCAGAUAAGGCACCAAUGACAUAUCAAAGAAACAAUUGCAUCAGUCUCUCUUGGUAAGUCGGUGAAUUUAAAUGGAAUUAUAUACAGAAGCGUAAAUAGAGGGUUACUUACAAGGGCAUAGGCAACUCAUGGGUAGCUACACCACUGAAGAAGAGCC
Molecule: long non-coding RNA, 724 nt
Filed under: Cricetulus griseus (Chinese hamster)
Lineage: Eukaryota; Metazoa; Chordata; Mammalia; Rodentia; Cricetidae
Description: lncRNA (ENSCGRG00000024552.1)
Source: RNAcentral